RNAcentral lists this ribosomal RNA (253 nucleotides) under uncultured bacterium. Its description in RNAcentral is "partial 16S ribosomal RNA". It matches the Rfam family "Bacterial small subunit ribosomal RNA", at positions 524 to 776 of the family's 1533-position model. The record is from RNAcentral.
UACGUAGGGGGCAAGCGUUGUCCGGAUUUAUUGGGCGUAAGGAGCGUGUAGGCGGCCAGACAGGUCCGCUGUGAAAACUCGAGGCUCAACCUCGAGAUGUCGGUGGAAACCGUCUGGCUAGAGUCCGGAAGAGGAGAGUGGAAUUCCCGGUGUAGCGGUGAAAUGCGCAGAUAUCGGGAAGAACACCCGUGGCGAAGGCGGCUCUCUGGGACGGUACUGACGCUGAGACGCGAAAGCGUGGGGAGCGAACAGG